This 244-nucleotide microRNA precursor is filed under the name Podarcis lilfordi (Lilford's wall lizard). Lineage: Eukaryota; Metazoa; Chordata; Lepidosauria; Squamata; Lacertidae. The record is from RNAcentral.
UCCUGGGGAUCGGGAGGCAGGGGGUGGCCCUGGGGGCUGCCAGAGCUCUGCAUGCUCUCCCCGGCGCUGGGGAGUGAUCUUGUAGUGCAGCUGCUCAGCUGAGCGACCAAGCCCAAAGAAAACCCCCAGCCUCCACGGCUCCAGCAACUGCAGCAUCAGUGAUCCCCUUCUCCAUGCCUUGCUGAGCUCUCACCGGGGAGAGCAUGCAGAGCUCCGGCAGCCCCCUGCCUCCCGAUCCCCGGGA